CGAACGCUGGCGGCGUGCUAACGCAUGCAAGUCGAGCGGGGAUGGUAGCUGAAGGUGAUGAGCUGGAAGCUAUCAUCUUAGCGGCGGACGGGUGAGUAACACGUGAGCAACUACCCUCAGCACGGGGAUAACAGCUCGAAAGGGCUGCUAAUACCCGAUGGGACCACGUCAUCGCAUGGUGAUGUGGUGAAAGGGUGGACGUAAGGUCCAUACCGGCUGGGGAUGGGCUCGCGGCCCAUCAGCUAGUUGGUGGGGUAACGGCCUACCAAGGCGACGACGGGUAGCCGGCCUGAGAGGGUGACCGGCCACAGUGGGACUGAGACACGGCCCACACUCCUACGGGAGGCAGCAGCGGGGAAUCUUGCGCAAUGGGCGAAAGCCUGACGCAGCGACGCCGCGUGAGGGAAGGAGCCCUUCGGGGUGUAAACCUCUUUGGACGGGGAGAAGUAGGAGAUAGUACCCGUUUAAAAAGCCACGGCUAACUACGUGCCAGCAGCCGCGGUAAUACGUAGGUGGCGAGCGUUGUCCGGAAUUACUGGGCGUAAAGGGAGCGUAGGCGGCCUGGUAAGUUGAGCGUGAAAUUUUUGGGCUCAACCCAAAAGGAGCGUUCAAGACUGCCAGGCUUGAGUGCGGGAGAGGACGGCGGAAUUCCCGGUGUAGCGGUGAAAUGCGU
RNAcentral lists this ribosomal RNA (673 nucleotides) under uncultured bacterium. RNAcentral's name for it is "bacterial SSU rRNA". It matches the Rfam family "Bacterial small subunit ribosomal RNA", at positions 30 to 691 of the family's 1533-position model. The record is from RNAcentral.